RNAcentral lists this ribosomal RNA (1359 nucleotides) under Triticum aestivum (bread wheat). RNAcentral describes it as "partial small subunit ribosomal RNA". The record is from RNAcentral. Lineage: Eukaryota; Viridiplantae; Streptophyta; Magnoliopsida; Poales; Poaceae.
AUGUCCAGGCUCCUGGAGGGCGACGACACCAGGCUUCCGAGGGUUGAUGAUACCUUUACACAAAAGACGGUUAAUGAUGCGAGAAAGAGGAAGUGGAGGAUGCCACAGAGGAAGCAAACGAAGAGGUCUGGACAUCCUGCAGGCGAGGAAUUGUUGGACGAGAUGGUGUGGGAGAUCUUAAUCCGGCUGCCUGUGGAGUCGCUGGCUAGGAUCAAGUUGGUUAGCAAGGUCUGGUACACCAUUAUCUCCCAACCUGUUUUUGUUCGUGCACACCUCCAAUGCUCCAAACAGAAACAACAUCACAAUCCGUCUUCCUUCCUCAUCACCCCCCAGAUUUAUCUACAUUCCAAUCCCUCAGGCAUUUUUUCCACCAACAUCCGUUUCUUCCAGUGGUCUUUACAAGAAGAUGAUUUGCCAAAAGUAGCAACAAAAGUUGGAAUGAGUCAUAGUAGUAGCGCAAUGCUUCUUCACGGGAGGCACUUCCCGGCUGGCAAGUUUGGGUUGGUGUCCCAGAUGGCACACUGCGAUGGGUUGGUGCUGCUCCCUACAGACACCAAUGCUUAUGUCUUCAACCCGGCCACUAGAGAUGGCAUUGCUCUGCCGAGGAGUCAUCACAACGUGUUGCAACGUCUCGUAUGCCUUCCCAUUGGUUUGGGCCUUGAUGUUUCCACUGGCACAUAUAAGGUUGCACGGUCUUUCUUCCGUUCAUGUGAUUACAAUUCCGUUGCAAUGGGGAUGGAGGUCAUCACCAUUAAUUGCCGAGAGGGGUCUUGGAGGGAAACCUUGGUGGAUCCACCGUACCUUAUCCUUUGUCCGCAAACUGCCAUACACUGCAAGGGGUGUCUAUUCUAUUUCAUCGAUAGGGAAAAUCAGCCAUGCUCCCCACAGGGGCUGCUUCGUUUCAGCCUUCAAGACGAAACUUUCGGCAUCACUCUGUUGCUUAACAACCUCUACCCUACAGUUGAAGAUGAAGAUAUUGUUAUCCAUGAGCUUGGUGGGGAAUGCGCUACUUUCUUCUGCAAGAGUAUGCAACGAGUAUUGAUCUGGAUGACAAGAGAUAUAUUGGUCCCGGAAUGGGAAUGUCACUAUGUAAUGAAUGUUUCAGACCAGUGCUUGCCAAUGGCCUCACUUAGCAAUGGCGAGAUUCUUCUACGGAGAGGCCAUUGUCUCUUCCGUUAUUACAUGAAGGAUCAUGGUGUAAAAGAAAACGACAUGUUCGAUAUCGAUGAGCUAAGGUUCCUUGGGCCUAGUGAAGACACAUUGGGACAUGCAUGGGAAAAUUUAUUUUGGUUCGACCUACUCUAUUACACGCCAAGUCUUGUUCCAGUUACUCCUAAGGCGAGCUUACAUGCCUCAUAA